AGAGUUUGAUCAUGGCUCAGAGUGAACGCUGGCGGCAUGCCUAACACAUGCAAGUCGAACGGUAACAGGCCCGCAAGGGUGCUGACGAGUGGCGGACGGGUGAGGAAUACAUCGGAAUUUGCCCAGUCGUGGGGGAUAACGUAGGGAAACUUACGCUAAUACCGCAUACGACCGAGAGGUGAAAGCGGGGGACCGUAAGGCCUCGCGCGAGUGGAUGAGCCGAUGUCGGAUUAGCUAGUUGGCGGGGUAAAGGCCCACCAAGGCGACGAUCCGUAGCUGGUCUGAGAGGAUGAUCAGCCACACUGGGACUGAGACACGGCCCAGACUCCUACGGGAGGCAGCAGUGGGGAAUAUUGGACAAUGGGGGCAACCCUGAUCCAGCAAUGCCGCGUGUGUGAAGAAGGCCUUCGGGUUGUAAAGCACUUUUAUCCGGAACGAAACGCGCAGGGUGAAUAGCCUUGUGAACUGACGGUACCGGAGGAAUAAGCACCGGCUAACUUCGUGCCAGCAGCCGCGGUAAUACGAAGGGUGCAAGCGUUACUCGGAAUUACUGGGCGUAAAGCGUGCGUAGGUGGUUUGUUAAGUCCGUUGUGAAAGCCCUGGGCUCAACCUGGGAAUGGCAGUGGAUACUGGCGAGCUAGAGUGCGGUAGAGGGUAGUGGAAUUCCCGGUAGCAGUGAAAUGCGUAGAGAUCGGGAGGAACACCAGUGGCGAAGGCGGCUACCUGGACCAGCACUGACACUGAGGCACGAAAGCGUGGGGAGCAAACAGGAUUAGAUACCCUAGUAGUCC
This 791-nucleotide ribosomal RNA is filed under the name uncultured bacterium. RNAcentral's name for it is "bacterial SSU rRNA". It matches the Rfam family "Bacterial small subunit ribosomal RNA", at positions 8 to 796 of the family's 1533-position model. The record is from RNAcentral.